GCUAGAUGUGUUUGAAUCAUCGUCUGACAGUAAAUUGGAUCGGCUUGAUUUUGCCAAGUUUUCCUCCGUCGCCUUCUCCCCAGUGCUCUCUGCGAAGCUCAAUUGUUCCUCCGGCUUCUCCCUACACCCAAAGCCCAGAAAAUCCCAAAAGCAGAAAAGCAAAAUUCAGGGAACGGGUUGGGGAUUUUGUUGUCGAAAGGAAAAACAAUGAUCAAGAAGGAAUGUAAACCCAAAACCUAUGUAAAUGUACUACUCACCGUAUCUCUGAAACCAGGCUGAUGGGUUGUUCUAUGCUCCCCUGUUUCUGAGAGACAAUGGAUUGCACAGGCUUGAAACUUCCAUUCCUCUGCAGUAAUUUUCAGAAUUUGAGUAAUUCUAUACUAAAAAAACUUUUGGAGCUCUGUUUGGAUGCUGAGAAAAGGAAAGGAAAGAAAAGAAAACAUGGUACUGAGUCCUAAAAUUUUGAUCAUCUGGGACCCAAAAACCAGAACCCCAGCACAACUGAGCCUACUAAAACGGAUGGGUCCAGUUGGAGUAGGCUGUUCCGCUCUCUGAUGAAAAGAAAGCCCGACAAGAAAGAAAAACACAAAGUUUCUUUCUUAUGUUCGGUUUCUUUUCUUUUCUUUCCUUGGGUUUUCUCUGAAAUCAAACAGAGGUUGAGAGAAAAACAAAACGACAUUCCAUAACAUGGGCUCACCUGGUCUCGAGGGAGUACAUGGAUCCUCUGUUUCUGGCGUUUGGCAUCCUUGGAAGACCCAAAACAAGCAAGAAAACAACCCAUUACAGACGAGUCUCUCUUUCUUGAUCUUUCUGAAACUUGUUCAACGUAGGAAGAAGCCCAAGAAGAAAAUGAAGAUUGGCUUAAAGGGUGUACUUCUCCAUGGGUUCCGAGAGAGCAAA
Long non-coding RNA from Vitis vinifera (wine grape), 900 nucleotides. RefSeq lists it as uncharacterized. The transcript is spliced from 2 exons. Lineage: Eukaryota; Viridiplantae; Streptophyta; Magnoliopsida; Vitales; Vitaceae. The record is from RefSeq and is a predicted model, not a curated record.